RNAcentral lists this non-coding RNA (30 nucleotides) under Cricetulus griseus (Chinese hamster). Lineage: Eukaryota; Metazoa; Chordata; Mammalia; Rodentia; Cricetidae. The record is from RNAcentral.
AGGACCUCAGAAACCAUGCCGAAACCACAC